RNAcentral lists this ribosomal RNA (253 nucleotides) under uncultured bacterium. RNAcentral's name for it is "partial 16S ribosomal RNA". It matches the Rfam family "Bacterial small subunit ribosomal RNA", at positions 524 to 776 of the family's 1533-position model. The record is from RNAcentral.
UACGUAGGGUGCAAGCGUUAAUCGGAAUUACUGGGCGUAAAGCGUGCGCAGGCGGCUUUGCAAGACAGAUGUGAAAUCCCCGGGCUUAACCUGGGAACUGCAUUUGUGACUGCAUGGCUGGAGUGCGGCAGAGGGGGGUAGAAUUCCACGUGUAGCAGUGAAAUGCGUAGAGAUGUGGAGGAAUACCGAUGGCGAAGGCAGCCCCCUGGGCCAAUACUGACGCUCAUGCACGAAAGCGUGGGGAGCAAACAGG